Molecule: non-coding RNA, 24 nt
Filed under: Arabidopsis thaliana (thale cress)
Lineage: Eukaryota; Viridiplantae; Streptophyta; Magnoliopsida; Brassicales; Brassicaceae
Source: RNAcentral
AUAGCUUUCGGGCUAAGUUAGGCC